GAGAUUCUGAAAGCCAUAAAAUCAGUUGACCUCACCGACUGUUAGAGCCAGGAGUGCUGAUUGUGAAAACAGUUGUCUCAGUAUUCCACGUGGAAUUGCAUAUGCGGCUGGAAUGCAAUGGCACGAUCUUGGCUCGAUGCAACCUUCACCUCCUGGGUUGAAGCAAUUCUUCUGCCUCAGCCUCCCAAGUAGCUGGAACUGCAGGCAUGCACCACCAUGCCCAGGUCCAUAGAUGGAGAGGAAUUUUGCUCAAGGAUUGAUGAUACCCAGAGUCUUACCUAUACAUGAGUUAGAUGAUUUAAAUAUUUAAUAAAGUAUCUUAUAAACAUGA
Pan troglodytes (chimpanzee) is the source of this 331-nucleotide long non-coding RNA. RefSeq lists it as uncharacterized. NCBI's taxonomy places the organism in Eukaryota, Metazoa, Chordata, Mammalia, Primates, Hominidae. The record is from RefSeq and is a predicted model, not a curated record. The transcript is spliced from 3 exons.